This 29-nucleotide small RNA is filed under the name Bombyx mori (domestic silkworm). Its description in RNAcentral is "ovarian small RNA-28307". Lineage: Eukaryota; Metazoa; Arthropoda; Insecta; Lepidoptera; Bombycidae. The record is from RNAcentral.
UCGACGAGAAUGGUGACCGAUGCAUGGAA